AACCGCUGAAAGCAUCUAAGCGGGAAGCGAGCCUUGAGAUGAGUUCUCCCUGAUACUUUAAGUAUCCUAAAGGGUUGUCGUAGACUACGACGUUGAUAGGCAGGGUGUGUAAGCGUUGUGAGGCGUUGAGCUAACCUGUACUAAUUGCCCGUGAGGCUUAACCAUACAACACCCAAGGGGUUU
Molecule: ribosomal RNA, 183 nt
Filed under: Vibrio natriegens NBRC 15636 = ATCC 14048 = DSM 759
Lineage: Bacteria; Pseudomonadati; Pseudomonadota; Gammaproteobacteria; Vibrionales; Vibrionaceae
Description: partial 23S ribosomal RNA
Rfam family: Bacterial large subunit ribosomal RNA
Source: RNAcentral